Molecule: ribosomal RNA, 579 nt
Filed under: uncultured bacterium
Lineage: Bacteria
Description: partial 16S ribosomal RNA
Rfam family: Bacterial small subunit ribosomal RNA
Source: RNAcentral
UGGGGAAUUUUGGACAAUGGGCGAAAGCCUGACCCAGCAAUGCCGCGUGUGUGAAGAAGGCCUUCGGGUUGUAAAGCACUUUUGUCCGGAAAGAAAUCCUUGGCUCUAAUACAGUCGGGGGAUGACGGUACCGGAAGAAUAAGCACCGGCUAACUACGUGCCAGCAGCCGCGGUAAUACGUAGGGUGCAAGCGUUAAUCGGAAUUACUGGGCGUAAAGCGUGCGCAGGCGGUUUGCUAAGACCGAUGUGAAAUCCCCGGGCUCAACCUGGGAACUGCAUUGGUGACUGGCAGGCUAGAGUAUGGCAGAGGGGGGUAGAAUUCCACGUGUAGCAGUGAAAUGCGUAGAGAUGUGGAGGAAUACCGAUGGCGAAGGCAGCCCCCUGGGCCAAUACUGACGCUCAUGCACGAAAGCGUGGGGAGCAAACAGGAUUAGAUACCCUGGUAGUCCACGCCCUAAACGAUGUCAACUAGUUGUUGGGGAUUCAUUUCCUUAGUAACGUAGCUAACGCGUGAAGUUGACCGCCUGGGGAGUACGGUCGCAAGAUUAAAACUUAAAUGAAUUGACGGGGUCAUAGCUG